AUUCUUCCAGUCAUGCUAUAUGGCUAUGAAUUCUGCAAUAUCACAGUCAUUCAAGAUCAAAAUUGCAUGUCAUCCAAGUUAUAGUGGACAGAUGCAUGGAGGGCAUAUGGCUUAUAAAAAUAUAAUAAGAGUAACUCGAAGAGGAACAGAAGGAAACUGGAGAAAUCUGAAAAGCCAAUUAGAGGGCACACUGUUUACUAAGUCUCUGGAUAGUGGCUGCUGGACGAGACUAGGCAAGUUGCUUGACUUCUGGGCUCUUGUCAAGGUUGGGAAUACUAAUGACAGUACUGAAGCAAUUUUAUUGUUGAUGACUAUUACUACAGAAGAAUAUUAUCAGUGUUGGAUGGGAGAUUGGAAUUUUAAUGGAUGUUUUAUAAAUGUGGACAUUACAUGUUUGAAAAUUAGGAAACAAACUAGAUGAAACACUUUUAUGAUGUUGUUCCCCAGCUCAAGAAUAUACAAUGGCUCCCUAUCACAGGAAUCAACUCAAACGCCUUAUCUUAGCAUCCAAUGUUCUUUACAGUUUGUCCCCACCUAACCUAUCCACUUCAAUUCUUUGCCUUUUGGGAUAAUUGGGCUAGUUUCUUCUAGCUUACAUUCUCUAAACAUUUCGUACACAUUCCCAACUCCAAGCAUUUGCUCAUGCUAUAACCAUUCCUAAAAUGCUCUUCCCACUCCUUUCUACCUUCAACAACUAACUUUUAUGCUUGUAUCCUCAGGGCCUAGAAUAAGGCCUAGCACAUAUACUUUUAAUCAAUGCUCAUUGAAUGAAAUAAAAUUCAGGAGUGUUUUAAUCGACUUAUAUUU
This 807-nucleotide long non-coding RNA is filed under the name Vombatus ursinus (common wombat). RNAcentral describes it as "lncRNA (ENSVURG00010019778.1)". The record is from RNAcentral. Lineage: Eukaryota; Metazoa; Chordata; Mammalia; Diprotodontia; Vombatidae.